Molecule: ribosomal RNA, 498 nt
Filed under: uncultured bacterium
Lineage: Bacteria
Description: partial 16S ribosomal RNA
Rfam family: Bacterial small subunit ribosomal RNA
Source: RNAcentral
AUUGAACGCUGGCGGCAUGCUUUACACAUGCAAGUCGAACGGUAACAGGCCGCAAGGUGCUGACGAGUGGCGAACGGGUGAGUAAUGCAUCGGAACGUGCCCAGUCGUGGGGGAUAACUAUCCGAAAGGAUAGCUAAUACCGCAUACGAUCUGCGGAUGAAAGCGGGGGACCUUCGGGCCUCGCGCGAUUGGAGCGGCCGAUGUCAGAUUAGGUAGUUGGUGGGGUAAAGGCUCACCAAGCCAACGAUCUGUAGCUGGUCUGAGAGGACGACCAGCCACACUGGGACUGAGACACAGCCCAGACUCCUACGGGAGGCAGCAGUGGGGAAUUUUGGGCAAUGGGCGCAAGCCUGAUCCAGCAAUGCCGCGUGCAGGAAGAAGGCCUUCGGGUUGUAAACUGCUUUUGUACGGAACGAAACGGCUCUGGUUAAUACCUGGGGCUAAUGACGGUACCGUAAGAAUAAGCACCGGCUAACUACGUGCCAGCAGCCGCCGCAG